This 337-nucleotide unclassified non-coding RNA is filed under the name soil metagenome. RNAcentral's name for it is "partial contains 5.8S ribosomal RNA, internal transcribed spacer 2, and large subunit ribosomal RNA". The stretch from base 1 to 120 matches the Rfam family "5.8S ribosomal RNA", at positions 35 to 154 of the family's 154-position model. The record is from RNAcentral.
GAUGAAGAACGCAGCGAAAUGCGAUAAGUAAUGUGAAUUGCAGAAUUCAGUGAAUCAUCGAAUCUUUGAACGCACAUUGCGCCCCUUGGUAUUCCGGGGGGCAUGCCUGUUCGAGCGUCAUUUCAACCCUCAAGCUCUGCUUGGUAUUGGGCACUGUCCUUUGCGGGCGCGCCUCAAAGACCUCGGCGGUGGCGUCUUGCCUCAAGCGUAGUAGAAUACACCUCGCUUCGGAGCGUAAGGCGUCGCCCGCCGGACGAACCUUCUGAACUUUUCUCAAGGUUGACCUCGGAUCAGGUAGGGAUACCCGCUGAACUUAAGCAUAUCAAUAAGCGGAGGA